This is an unclassified non-coding RNA of Pongo abelii (Sumatran orangutan), 266 nucleotides long. It matches the Rfam family "Metazoan signal recognition particle RNA". From Rfam's summary of the family: The signal recognition particle (SRP) is a universally conserved ribonucleoprotein. It is involved in the co-translational targeting of proteins to membranes. NCBI's taxonomy places the organism in Eukaryota, Metazoa, Chordata, Mammalia, Primates, Hominidae. The record is from Ensembl.
GCUGGGCACAGUGGCACGCUGCUCUAGUCCCAGUUACCCGGGAGGCUGAGGCAAGAGGAUUGCUUGAGCCGAGGGCUUCUGGACUGGAGUGCACUGUGCCAAUUGGGUGUCCACACUCAAGUUUGGCAUCAAUAUGAUGACCUCCUGGGAAUGGGAACCGACCCAGGAAACAUAGGUCAAGACUCUCAUGCUGAUCAGUAGUGGGAUAGCACCUGUGAAUAGCUACUGCGCUUCAGCCUGGGCAACAUAGAGAGACCCUGUCUAAA